UCUUGACAAAUAUAAGAGGUCCAGCCUGCCCAGUGACUUAGUUCAACGGCCGCGGUAUCCUAACCGUGCGAAGGUAGCGUAAUCACUUGUUCUUUAAAUGAGGACUAGUAUGAAUGGCAUCACGAGGGUUGCACUGUCUCCUUUUUUUAAUCAGUGAAACUAAUCUUCCCGUGAAGAAGCGGGAAUAUUACUAUAAGACGAGAAGACCCUAUGGAGCUUUAAACAAAUUAACACUUGCUGCCUAAGAUAACUUUUUCAGAAACACAACACACAGCAUAGCAUGAUGAUUAAUAGUUUUCGAUUGGGGUGAUCACGGAGUAAAAAAUAACCUCCAUGCCGAAAGGGCUCUUCCCUGAGCAAAAAGCCACAACUUUAAGCACUAAAAAAAUUAACGUUUAUUGACCCAAUACUUUGAUCAACGAACCAAGUUACCCUAGGGAUAACAGCGCAAUCCACUUCAAGAGCUCCUAUCGACAAGUGGGUUUACGACCUCGAUGUUGGAUCAGGGUAUCCCAGUGG
RNAcentral lists this ribosomal RNA (519 nucleotides) under Boana riojana. Its description in RNAcentral is "Hypsiboas riojanus partial 16S ribosomal RNA". It matches the Rfam family "Bacterial large subunit ribosomal RNA", at positions 1834 to 2553 of the family's 2925-position model. The record is from RNAcentral. Lineage: Eukaryota; Metazoa; Chordata; Amphibia; Anura; Hylidae.